Molecule: ribosomal RNA, 513 nt
Filed under: Salmonella enterica
Lineage: Bacteria; Pseudomonadati; Pseudomonadota; Gammaproteobacteria; Enterobacterales; Enterobacteriaceae
Description: bacterial SSU rRNA
Rfam family: Bacterial small subunit ribosomal RNA
Source: RNAcentral
CUGGAAACGGUGGCUAAUACCGCAUAACGUCGCAAGACCAAAGAGGGGGACCUUCGGGCCUCUUGCCAUCAGAUGUGCCCAGAUGGGAUUAGCUUGUUGGUGAGGUAACGGCUCACCAAGGCGACGAUCCCUAGCUGGUCUGAGAGGAUGACCAGCCACACUGGAACUGAGACACGGUCCAGACUCCUACGGGAGGCAGCAGUGGGGAAUAUUGCACAAUGGGCGCAAGCCUGAUGCAGCCAUGCCGCGUGUAUGAAGAAGGCCUUCGGGUUGUAAAGUACUUUCAGCGGGGAGGAAGGUGUUGUGGUUAAUAACCGCAGCAAUUGACGUUACCCGCAGAAGAAGCACCGGCUAACUCCGUGCCAGCAGCCGCGGUAAUACGGAGGGUGCAAGCGUUAAUCGGAAUUACUGGGCGUAAAGCGCACGCAGGCGGUCUGUCAAGUCGGAUGUGAAAUCCCCGGGCUCAACCUGGGAACUGCAUUCGAAACUGGCAGGCUUGAGUCUUGUAGAGGG